AUGGGGAGGCUACGGAAAGUCUCUCACAAGGAUGUUCCAGAAGCUUCUUCUAUUGAGAGUUUGAUUUUUUGCAAGAUCCCUUUGUGCCCAAUGACUUUGCGGAAGAUGAAAGUAAAACACCUGAAGAGGAAGUUAUCCUGUGCUGCAGGAAGGAAUGUGAGGCAGAAACGAUCUUCUGAUUUCCCCGUUUGUUCAACCUUCACUAGAUAUUCUGGGAAAUUCUUCUCAGCUGUUGUUGAUGGUUUGUGUCCUAGGUAUAAGGGUGUCAUUGAGAAUUAUGGCAUGCAUUGUCUUCUUAGGUUUGUGAGUACUGAGGUCCCACUUAGGCUUGUUAAGUGGCUUGCAUCUAGGUUUGAUGUUCUCGCUUCUGAGUUACAGUUAAAAAUGAAGUUUAUCCCCCUUACUAAGUACGACAUACAUGAUAUCCUUGGCCUUCCAGUAGAUGGCCAUGUCGCGGAGGUACGAAACGCUUCAAUUGAGCGCAACAAUGGCUUCUGUAGCGAACACCCGAGCACAAUGAGUUGUGUUGCAAGCGGCCGCAACAGAGAGAUUGGGCAACUGUCACGCACGCCAUCCAACUGUUGCCGAAGCGGCCGAUCCGAACCGAUAAUCACCUGGCCAACGGCUAGAGUCGCAUUUGUUGAUGAUUUGAUCUGUGUUAUCUCCAUGGAAGGUGCCCCUCCCCACUUGGAAGUUUCACAGGAGGGGGAGAAGGUGGGAGAUACUCAAAGCGAGGACUAA
This 741-nucleotide ribosomal RNA is filed under the name Triticum aestivum (bread wheat). RNAcentral's name for it is "partial small subunit ribosomal RNA". The record is from RNAcentral. Lineage: Eukaryota; Viridiplantae; Streptophyta; Magnoliopsida; Poales; Poaceae.